RNAcentral lists this long non-coding RNA (407 nucleotides) under Ananas comosus (pineapple). Its description in RNAcentral is "long non-coding RNA (ACOM_LNC003247)". Lineage: Eukaryota; Viridiplantae; Streptophyta; Magnoliopsida; Poales; Bromeliaceae. The record is from RNAcentral.
UUUUGAUGGGUCGCAAACCUAAUUGCUAGGCCUCUGAACGCGUCGGCGAAGACAGUUUGCCGAUCCGACGAGCGAGCACGGAGAAAUCGCCGAAUCGAGUACUCGAGGGCUCGCUUCGCCCCGAGGAGUUAAAACGACGCGCAAAGACCGAAGCGUCGAGUUUUCUACCGUCGCGGCAUCGCCAAGAGGUGGGUGGUGACCAUCCCGAAGCAACUGGGCCCCCUUCUAUGUCUUAGUACACUUUGAUUCUUGCAUCUUGUAUUAUUGCAUUAUAGGAUGAUUGUGCAUUGCCUUUCCUUAUACUUUCCUUGAUGAUAUCGUAGCAUGUACUGGAUACUUGAUAUAGUGGAUUGAUAAGGAUUGGGUCGAGACUUGUGAAUCCUAUAGUGUAGUGAUGAAAGUAUGAU